Molecule: ribosomal RNA, 498 nt
Filed under: uncultured bacterium
Lineage: Bacteria
Description: partial 16S ribosomal RNA
Rfam family: Bacterial small subunit ribosomal RNA
Source: RNAcentral
AUUGAACGCUGGCGGCAUGCCUUACACAUGCAAGUCGAACGGUAACAGGUCUUCGGAUGCUGACGAGUGGCGAACGGGUGAGUAAUACAUCGGAACGUGCCUAGUAGUGGGGGAUAACUACUCGAAAGAGUGGCUAAUACCGCAUGAGAUCUACGGAUGAAAGCAGGGGAUCGCAAGACCUUGUGCUACUAGAGCGGCCGAUGGCAGAUUAGGUAGCUGGUGGGAUAAAAGCUUACCAAACCGACGAUCUGUAGCUGGUCUGAGAGGACGAUCAGCCACACUGGGACUGAGACAAGGCCCAGACUCCUACGGGAGGCAGCAGUGGGGAAUUUUGGACAAUGGGCGCAAGCCUGAUCCAGCAAUGCCGCGUGCAGGAUGAAGGCCUUCGGGUUGUAAACUGCUUUUGUACGGAACGAAAAGCCCCGGGUUAAUACCCUGGGGUCAUGACGGUACCGUAAGAAUAAGCACCGGCUAACUACGUGCCAGCCGCCGCGGUAA